AGAGUUUGAUCCUGGCUCAGAACGUACGCUGGCGGCACGCCUAACACAUGCAAGUCGAACGAAGUAGCAAUACUUAGUGGCAGACGGGUGAGUAACAUGUAGGUAUCUGCCCUUUGGCCUGGAAUAACACGAGGAAACUUGUGCUAAUACCGGAUAAGUCUUUACGGAGAAAGCUUUAUGCACCAAUGGAUGAGCCUGCAUUUGAUUAGUUUGUUGGUGGGGUAAUGGCCUACCAAGACUGUGAUCAAUAGCUGAUUUGAGAGGAUGAUCAGCCGCAUUGGGACUGAGACACGGCCCAAACUCCUACGGGAGGCAGCAGUGGGGAAUCUUGCACAAUGGAGGAAACUCUGAUGCAGCGAUGCCGCGUGAGUGAAGAAGGCCUUUGGGUUGUAAAGCUCUUUCGUCGGGGAAGAAAAUGACUGUACCCGAAUAAGAAGGUCCGGCUAACUUCGUGCCAGCAGCCGCGGUAAUACGAAGGGACCUAGCAUAGUUCGGAAUUACUGGGCUUAAAGAGUUCGUAGGUGGUUGAAAAAGUUGGUGGUGAAAUCCCAGAGCUUAACUCUGGAACUGCCAUCAAAACUUUUCAGCUAGAGUUUGAUAGAGGAAAGCAGAAUUUCUAGUGUAGAGGUGAAAUUCGUAGAUAUUAGAAAGAAUACCAAUUGCGAAGGCAGCUUUCUGGAUCAUUACUGACACUGAGGAACGAAAGCAUGGGUAGCGAAGAGGAUUAGAUACCCUCGUAGUCCAUGCCGUAAACGAUGUGUGUUAGACGUUGGAAAUUUAUUUUCAGUGUCGCAGCGAAAGCGAUAAACACACCGCCUGGGGAGUACGACCGCAAGGUUAAAACUCAAAUGAAUUGACGGGGACCCGCACAAGUAGUGGAGCAUGUGGUUUAAUUCGAAGAUACGCGCAGAACCUUACCAACACUUGACAUGUUCGUCGCGACUUUAAGAGAUUAAAGUUUUCGGUUCGGCCGGACGAAACACAGGUGCUGCAUGGCUGUCGUCAGCUCGUGUCGUGAGAUGUUGGGUUAAGUCCCGCAACGAGCGCAACCCUCACUUUUAGUUGCCAUCAUUAAGUUGGGCACUCUGAAAGAACUGCCAGUGAUAAGCUGGAGGAAGGUGGGGAUGACGUCAAGUCCUCAUGGCCCUUACGUGUUGGGCUACACACGUGCUACAAUGGUAUCUACAACAGGAAGCAAGACUGCGAGGUCAAGCAAAUCCUCAAAAGAUACCUCAGUUCGGAUUGCACUCUGCAACUCGAGUGCAUGAAGCUGGAAUUACUAGUAAUCGUGGAUCAGCGUGCCACGGUGAAUGCGUUCCCGGGUCUUGUACACACCGCCCGU
This 1342-nucleotide ribosomal RNA is filed under the name uncultured Pelagibacterales bacterium. RNAcentral's name for it is "bacterial SSU rRNA". It matches the Rfam family "Bacterial small subunit ribosomal RNA". The record is from RNAcentral. Lineage: Bacteria; Pseudomonadati; Pseudomonadota; Alphaproteobacteria; Candidatus Pelagibacterales.